GACGAACGCUGGCGGCGUGCUUAACACAUGCAAGUCGAACGGAAAGGCCCUGCUUUUGUGGGGUGCUCGAGUGGCGAACGGGUGAGUAACACGUGAGUAACCUGCCCUUGACUUUGUGAUAACUUCAGGAAACUGGUGCUAAUACCGGAUAGGAGCUCCUGCUGCUUGGUGGGGGUUGGAACGUUUCGGCGGUUGGGGAUGGACUCGCGGCUUAUCAGCUUGUGGGUGGGGUAGCGGCUUACCAAGGCUUUGACGGGUAGCCGGCCUGAGAGGGUGACCGGCGACAUUGGGACUGAGAUACGGCCCAGACUCGUACGGGAGGCAGAAGUGGGGAAUAUUGCACAAUGGGCGGAAGCCUGAUGCAGAAACGUCGCGUGCGGGAUGACGGCCUUCGGGUUGUAAACCGCUUUAGCCUGUGACGAAGCGUGAGUGACGGUAAUGGGUAAAGAAGCACCGGCUAACUACGUG
Molecule: ribosomal RNA, 468 nt
Filed under: uncultured bacterium
Lineage: Bacteria
Description: partial 16S ribosomal RNA
Rfam family: Bacterial small subunit ribosomal RNA
Source: RNAcentral